Molecule: transfer RNA, 37 nt
Filed under: Cucumis sativus (cucumber)
Lineage: Eukaryota; Viridiplantae; Streptophyta; Magnoliopsida; Cucurbitales; Cucurbitaceae
Also listed under: 18 other names
Description: tRNA-Leu
Source: RNAcentral
GGGGAUAUGGCGAAAUCGGUAGACGCUACGGACUUAA